This is a non-coding RNA of Marchantia polymorpha subsp. ruderalis, 122 nucleotides long. Lineage: Eukaryota; Viridiplantae; Streptophyta; Marchantiopsida; Marchantiales; Marchantiaceae. The record is from the annotation of a GenBank genome assembly.
UGACGGCUACUACUAAUGGUAUUGCCCACCCUUCAGACAGCACUGAAAAUUGCAUGAAAAGUUUCUCGGUCAAUUUUCUGUGCUGUUUGACGGUUGGGCAAAACCAACACGCAGUAUCGUCA